AUGGCCCGUGCAGAGACCAUUGAAAGUGUUGGGGAAACUGGGAUUGGAACACAUGGUCUCUUUUCUCAGCACAACACCUGCUGCAUGGAGCUGACUCGUCCUCUCCAAAGCUGGCCUGGACUGCUCAGCACUGCUACCAUCACCAUUAGCCCUGGGAAUGCCAGCACCCCCGUGCACCGCCAUCAUAACGACCACAGCCUCCAGCCUUUGCAGGCGAUCAGUGGGUCAUAUCAUUCAUCUUACCUCCACCCCGAGGGCCAGGCUCAGCCCCAGCCUCACCACCAGUUACCUACUUUAUCUUCGGCAACUCAUCCUUUGCCACUUCAAAAUCAGGGAGGAGAAUUUGACGAAGGCUUUCCAGGACAGCAGUCAGGCUUGGACCAGAGGACACAACAGGAGCGCAGCCACCGACGAGGACCUCUGCCCGACCUGCUGCCACAGACGGAGCACCUGUCCAGGCUUUCAUCCCCUCCCAGAGGCCCCGACGACGGCACGUUACAGCUGAGGGUCAGGAGGGUGGCCAUCCAACUGAGGACCAUCGGGGACGAAUUCAACGCCACGCUUCUCCACAGAGCGGUAAGUGUGGCGACCGAAAGUCCCUUAUGAUUCCAGCGAGGGACCACAGUGGACGCUUGUGUGGCGUUUUUAAAUAGCACGUAGCUUAGCGAGCGCAGCGGAGGCCGAAAACAGACAGGGUCACCGCGGCAAUAAUCCGCAACAGCAAUCAUUAAAGUUCCCAAAAAAAGUUUACUGGAGCUCUUGUAGUGACUCACGCUGACAGCAGCAGAGCGUCCAGCGCGUUCUAAAACACUCGAGGGUUUCUGUCGUGACUUAUGUGGAGGUGCAGAGGGUUCAGAGUCCUUGAACCCAACAGGGUAUUUCCACUGUGUGUGUGGGAGGCUGCAGCAGGCCGAGGGGGGGGCAGGAGGAGGGUUCGUCACAGUUUCUUUUUCUUUCUGUCCUUCUCUACCCAUGAACUGGGUCUUUAGUGCCAUUCUGAGUGCAACUGUAACCUCAGUCGUGUAAAAAAGGAAAGGAAAAAAACGGGAUGUUGCUGGUCUGGAGACAUUUCUCUUUUUCCCACUGGUGCCGUGUUUCUGUUAUUGUGUUUUUUUUUUCUCUGCCCCAUCCUGCCCCUCCCUACCCAAUGUGUGAGGAGUCGCUCCUCCUCCCCCGCUACACACACUUCCCCAAUUCUCUUUCCUUUGCAAAAAAAAAACAAAGAUGAUGUCACCGUCUCUUUGCACUGAGUCAGGAAUAAGUCAGCACACACGACACACACAUGCACACACCCUUUGCAUAGCAGGGUUCCUGGCAUCGCUGACCUCUCCUCUGCCUCCUCUGAUUUUUAAGGGGGAGCCGAAUGUGCAUGCUUUGUUUUACCAUCAGACAGUUUUCCUCUGCUUUAAUUUUCAAACUGAGGGAAGAAAUGACCAGUGAAAGUUGUAAGGGAAGGAAGCGGUGAGAGAGGAUCGACCACCUCGUUGAGGGAUGCGUAGCUGACGGUGUGAUCCUGAGCACAGAAAGACACAAACACUGGUAGAUCUCUGCCUGGUCCUCAUCUGUUUCUGUCCAUCCUGUCAAAUCCUCUGUCUUUUAAAGAGAAUUAGCAGCUUUAGGGAUUUCUUUUGCAACCCAAAUCAGUAUCUGUUAGUUUUAUACCCAUUUAUACAUCAGGCCGCAGUGAUUAACAGUGUUUGGUGUGUAAAGUCAUGAUAAAAUGAUAUAAAAUCCUAAUACUACGGUAAUAACAUGACAUACUUUAGAGCAGACUGUAACCUGGCUGAGACGUGGAGGCACAGGAGCUCGCGCUAACCUCUCCCCCUCUCUGUUACAGGAUGCUCCCUAUUGGCAGGACUGGCGAGAUGCCUGCAGAGUUUUACUGAAUUUCAUCACCCAGACUCUCAGCACGCUCUACCGGCUGACAUAAGCACCCAAGCGUUUGGCAUGUGGGGCCACUGGCUGCUGGAACGUUGCAAAAAAACACUGGGGAGGAUUAACCAAUUUGGAAAUCAAACAUUUUCUAUAGUCUGUGAGACUACCCAUUAGUCAGUCUGCUGGCUCAGACUGCUGUUGAGAGAGGAAAUCCCCCUUUUUUCCCCCUGUGUAUUCAGUUAAAUUUACACGUUUCUGGAUUAAAUCUGUUGGUGUACUGUAGGGGAAUGACUGUAAUUUUACAUUUCAGACCUGUUUAAUUUUACAUUUCAGACUUGUCCUGAUAAUCCAAGCUACAAAGUACGACACUUCGAUGUCUCUCCCUUGUCUUUGAAACUGUGAAAGUGGAUCCUGAGUGGGGACAGGUCAGGUGCUAUUCCACCAACGGGCACAAAGUGAACCUGCCUCCCAACCUGAAACUGCUUCAGUGCAUCAUAUAAUGUGCCUUCCUGCUCAGCACCCUUUGUAGGCCCAGUUUUACUUUCUGUCAAUCGGUCAGACACACAGAUCCAGAGGCGGCCCCUAAAGUAAAGGUUAUUAGAUACAUAUCCUGCCUGCAUUCCUCUGCAGCAGCCCUGCAGUCAGUGCUGGGACCUGCCAGGCUGAUUCCAGGUUCUAAACAGUGUUCAUAGUUUCUUGAUCAUUUGUAAAUAUUUUUUUGGAAGAUGAAACUAUCUCUCGUGUUUUCAAGAAAUUUUAAAGUACCUUUCAAGCUGUGAGUUCGCUGUCUUUGGGAGACCUUGUUUUAAGGGGGAAAAAAAAAUUAAAUACAUUUCUGAGCAGAGUUUGAAUUUAAAUCCAGUGGAUUUGAGUUAGGAAAAAAUCUAUGAUUGAAUUUUUUUUGACUGAAAUGAAAAGAAAGAAAAGUUAAAAUCUCCCUCUUGGUUGUGCGACUGCAUUCAUUUUUGCCUUGGUGAGAAUGUUGACAGCUCAUAUUAAGAGCAUAAUUUAUUUUAAAAUGUAGCCUUACUGUAGCAUUUUUAUGUUCACUGUUAUUUAUUUUGUUUUUACAUUCCUCAAGAGUAUGAAUUAAGUGCUUGUGUUAAACUGAGAUUUACAAUACAAUGUUUUCAAGAAUUUUAAAAAGAUUAUUAUCAUUACUGAAAUUCCAAAUUUAGAAAACCAAAAUGUCCUCAUUGGCAUUCUAAUUUCCAACAGUACAGAUGGUAAAACGUGGUAUAGACGCUCAGUUUCUUUCAGGAAGUGUUAAAAAUGUGAUUCCCAUCAGAUUCCAAAUCACUCAAAACGGGGUUCUAAUUAACCAUCGAAUGUUUUCUGUGCUUUUUACUUGCUUGGCCUUGAAUUGUUGAUGUCCUUCUGUUGUCAGCUGAAAGUCCUGGAUACCAAUUUCAAUUGGUGGCUGAGCCAGAUGCUGAGCUAAGACCACUCUGGUAUUUUUAGUUUUCGGUUAGUUUGUCAUCUCAUUUGCUGUUAUCGCAUUUAUGCUGACCGUUUUUUGAUGCCUUGUAAAUGCUUACAGUUGUGUUCUCUUCCAUUUUUUAAUCUAAGAGGUCUGAGGUUUUCCUUCCUACAAUGAUGCAGUGUCAUCACACACAGUGUGUUUGGCUUUUUUUCCCCCACCAUUUUUGUACACUUUUUUUUUUUUUUUACAAAAUUUUGUAAGUCUCUUCAGUUUUUAUACAAUAAAGUUAAAAGAGAAAUCUACCCAUGUGUUUGGUGUUUAAUCCCAAAUAAACAGGACAAGAAAUUACCAUUCUUGUACGCCAGCGAGAUUCUCUGAGAAGAAUACGUGUUUCUUUUUAAACCUCAUCUUUCCUGCUACUGGUUGACACUGGAAACCUCUGUGGGUUGUGGCCACCCUGGCAGGACAGAAGAGGACAGCAGUAAUUAACUGGAAUGUGUUGCCAC
Molecule: long non-coding RNA, 3804 nt
Filed under: Takifugu rubripes (torafugu)
Lineage: Eukaryota; Metazoa; Chordata; Actinopteri; Tetraodontiformes; Tetraodontidae
Description: lncRNA (ENSTRUG00000031282.1)
Source: RNAcentral